RNAcentral lists this ribosomal RNA (323 nucleotides) under Radix cf. plicatula TS-2021 Clade VI. RNAcentral describes it as "partial 28S ribosomal RNA". The record is from RNAcentral. Lineage: Eukaryota; Metazoa; Mollusca; Gastropoda; Lymnaeidae.
GGAAUUCAGCGUGUGCGGAGGGUCCGGGAAUCGGGCCGGGGAUCUUCGGACCCCGCCCAGCUCUCGACUGGGCCCGACGCCGCGUGCACUUUCCGCGGGCAGAGCGCCACGACCGGUUUCGCGGCGGCGAUAAGCCCGUUGCGGAUGCGUGGCACGAUCUCACGGUCGUGCUACGGCCGCUCGCGGUGAGCCGCUGUCGGGACCGAGGAACGGCCGCGUGCUUCGAGGCUGCCCGGCCUCGCUGGGGAGUUCGACUGGCAGGGACUGGGUAACCGUGCCUGCCGACUGCUCCCCGGUGCCGGUUCGGGACAGCCGGGCGCGUC